CAUCAUCCUCCAAGAACUAAAACUGGUUAAAACCCAGAAAAUAAGCUGAGAAUAACAUCAAGGAAGGACUGAAGUUUAAGAGGGUACCCCAACUUCCCAGAAAACAAAGCCUACCUAUAAUUAGAUAGGAAAAGUGAGCAAACAACAACAACAAAAAACACCCAACUCUAAAGAAUUUUUAUGGAGACAAAGAGCAAGGUACACACACACAGAAGGGGACACUGAAUAAUACAGAUUUCUCUGUUUGGUAAAUAAAGUCUCCCAUAGAUCUAUAGAUUCACUCUACUUUCCCAGGUCCAUUUCCCACAUUUCUCCUUUACACAUGCCCUAUAUUCUUCCCCAACUGGAUGACUAGAUUUUCCCUGAAUUCAACAUUCCAUCUCUGGCUUGGGCAUUGUCAUCAAUUGUUCCCUCAUUUUGGCUUUUUAGAAUCUUUAUCUCCAUUCAAGACUCAGUUCAGGAGCUAUCUACUUCCAUGAAGCCUUCUCUGAUUCCUUUCUCUCUUUAGUGUUCUCUCCUUCCUCACAUUACCAACAUAUCUGACAAAUUCUCUCCAUUUAAUGUAAGUUCCUUGAAUACUUUACUUCUGGCUUUAUAUCCUCAGUCUGGGAAGUUCAAAUAGUGCCCUACACAUUGCCCAGUUUCUUAAAUCAAAUUCCACUAAGGCAGCAGAUUGGGGGGUUGAACUCCAGUUCUCCCACUCUGAGCCUAAACUUGCCAUAGAACUGCCCAGUGGUAAAGGAGUGGACCCAAUGACCCUCGGAGGCCACCUUCCAUCUCCAAGAUUCUAUGAUUCUAUGACAUGGACAAGAGGUCUGGAGUGGAGAGAUGAAGGGCUCUCCUUAUUGGAGUCAGAAAGGAGGGCAAGGACACCUACCUCCCAAGAAGACAGAGCAAAAUGUAGGAUGGGUCAUCCUUCUCUGUUAUGUCCUCAGACCAGGAAAGAUUUAGGAAGGGACAGAGGACAUUGCAUUUAUCUGGGUCCAGAUCCCACCUCUGUCUCUGUGUGGAUGCUUGGGAUGUCGAGGCAUGUUGCUUCCCCCUCUGAUCCUGCUUCCUCACCUGAGAAGCUGAGAUGA
This is a long non-coding RNA of Monodelphis domestica (gray short-tailed opossum), 1079 nucleotides long. The record is from Ensembl. Lineage: Eukaryota; Metazoa; Chordata; Mammalia; Didelphimorphia; Didelphidae.